RNAcentral lists this ribosomal RNA (1037 nucleotides) under Arthrobacter sp. RNAcentral describes it as "bacterial SSU rRNA". It matches the Rfam family "Bacterial small subunit ribosomal RNA", at positions 85 to 1136 of the family's 1533-position model. Lineage: Bacteria; Bacillati; Actinomycetota; Actinomycetes; Micrococcales; Micrococcaceae. The record is from RNAcentral.
UGGGGGAUUAGUGGCGAACGGGUGAGUAACACGUGAGUAACCUGCCCUUGACUCUGGGAUAAGCCUGGGAAACUGGGUCUAAUACCGGAUAUGACUCCUCAUCGCAUGGUGGGGGGUGGAAAGCUUUUGUGGUUUUGGAUGGACUCGCGGCCUAUCAGCUUGUUGGUGGGGUAAUGGCCUACCAAGGCGACGACGGGUAGCCGGCCUGAGAGGGUGACCGGCCACACUGGGACUGAGACACGGCCCAGACUCCUACGGGAGGCAGCAGUGGGGAAUAUUGCACAAUGGGCGCAAGCCUGAUGCAGCGACGCCGCGUGAGGGAUGACGGCCUUCGGGUUGUAAACCUCUUUCAGUAGGGAAGAAGCGUAAGUGACGGUACCUGCAGAAGAAGCGCCGGCUAACUACGUGCCAGCAGCCGCGGUAAUACGUAGGGCGCAAGCGUUAUCCGGAAUUAUUGGGCGUAAAGAGCUCGUAGGCGGUUUGUCGCGUCUGCUGUGAAAGACCGGGGCUCAACUCCGGUUCUGCAGUGGGUACGGGCAGACUAGAGUGCAGUAGGGGAGACUGGAAUUCCUGGUGUAGCGGUGAAAUGCGCAGAUAUCAGGAGGAACACCGAUGGCGAAGGCAGGUCUCUGGGCUGUAACUGACGCUGAGGAGCGAAAGCAUGGGGAGCGAACAGGAUUAGAUACCCUGGUAGUCCAUGCCGUAAACGUUGGGCACUAGGUGUGGGGGACAUUCCACGUUUUCCGCGCCGUAGCUAACGCAUUAAGUGCCCCGCCUGGGGAGUACGGCCGCAAGGCUAAAACUCAAAGGAAUUGACGGGGGCCCGCACAAGCGGCGGAGCAUGCGGAUUAAUUCGAUGCAACGCGAAGAACCUUACCAAGGCUUGACAUGAACCGGAAAGACCUGGAAACAGGUGCCCCGCUUGCGGUCGGUUUACAGGUGGUGCAUGGUUGUCGUCAGCUCGUGUCGUGAGAUGUUGGGUUAAGUCCCGCAACGAGCGCAACCCUCGUUCUAUGUUGCCAGCGGUUCGGCCGGGG